This 228-nucleotide ribosomal RNA is filed under the name uncultured bacterium. RNAcentral's name for it is "partial 16S ribosomal RNA". It matches the Rfam family "Bacterial small subunit ribosomal RNA", at positions 524 to 748 of the family's 1533-position model. The record is from RNAcentral.
UACGAAGGGAGCUAGCGUUGUUCGGAAUCACUGGGCGUAAAGCGCACGUAGGCGGAUUUGCCAGUCAGGGGUGAAAUCCCGGGGCUCAACCUCGGAACUGCCUUUGAUACAGCAAGUCUUGAGUUCGAGAGAGGUGGGUGGAAUUCCGAGUGUAGAGGUGAAAUUCGUAGAUAUUCGGAAGGAACACCGGGUGGCGAAGGCGGGUCCACUGGGCCGUAACUGACGCUG